CCUUGAGCUAGAGGUGGCUGCAGUGGAGCACCAGUUCAUCUUCAUUGAUGAGGUUGGGUUCAACCUCACAAAAAGACGAAAGAGGGGAAGGAAUGUCAUCGGCCAGCGUGCCAUUGUUGAAGUCCCUGGCCAGCGCAGAGGGAACCUCAUAAUGUGUGCAGCGAUUACCCACCACGGCGUCAUCAUCACCAUGCUACCCUUGGCCCCUACAACACCGCCCAUCUGAUCAUUCCUGGACACCCUAGACAACACUCUCAUUCCACCAGAUCAGGUUCACUCACCCUCGUCCUCCGUUCAGUCGGCUGGGCUCGUCCUCCGGACCUCUCCUCUUCGGGCUUCCCACACGGCGUCCUCCCAGUUCUCCCUUGCAUCCUCCCUUCCUCGGCCCCAGUGUUCCCCGGCUCCCUGGUUCCGGUCCCGUCAGUUUCCCUGUGCCAGUGUUUCCCCGGCAUCCUCCUCUCCCUCCACUCCAGUCCCUCAACCCCCUUUUUCCCUAAAUAAACCUGCGUUUGGGUCCUCUCUGUCCCCACACCACCCUCGUAACAGGGGGAUUACGUAACAAGCAACAAAGGCAUUAAAGAAAAAUAGUUAAGUCUUUA
Micropterus dolomieu (smallmouth bass) is the source of this 599-nucleotide long non-coding RNA. RefSeq lists it as uncharacterized. Lineage: Eukaryota; Metazoa; Chordata; Actinopteri; Centrarchiformes; Centrarchidae. The transcript is spliced from 2 exons. The record is from RefSeq and is a predicted model, not a curated record.